RNAcentral lists this ribosomal RNA (499 nucleotides) under uncultured bacterium. Its description in RNAcentral is "partial 16S ribosomal RNA". It matches the Rfam family "Bacterial small subunit ribosomal RNA", at positions 28 to 507 of the family's 1533-position model. The record is from RNAcentral.
GACGAACGCUGGCGGCGUGCCUAAUACAUGCAAGUCGAGCGAAGUUUUUCUGGUGCUUGCACCGGAAAAACUUAGCGGCGAACGGGUGAGUAACACGUAAAGAACCUGCCUCAUAGACUGGGACAACUAUUGGAAACGAUAGCUAAUACCGGAUAACAGCAUUAACUGCAUGGUUGAUGUUUAAAAGUUGGUUUUGCUAACACUAUGAGAUGGCUUUGCGGUGCAUUAGCUAGUUGGUGGGGUAAAGGCCUACCAAGGCGACGAUGCAUAGCCGACCUGAGAGGGUGAUCGGCCACACUGGGACUGAGACACGGCCCAGACUCCUACGGGAGGCAGCAGUAGGGAAUCUUCCGCAAUGGGCGAAAGCCUGACGGAGCAACGCCGCGUGAGUGAAGAAGGAUUUCGGUUCGUAAAGCUCUGUUGUUAGGGAAGAAUGAUUGUGUAGUAACUAUACACAGUAGAGACGGUACCUAACCAGAAAGCCACGGCUAACUACGUG